AUGGCAAAUAAUUCCAUUUCCUAUAACACACAUUUUCAUACCAUCGAAACAAUUGAAUAUAUUUUAAGCUAUAGUUUGACCUUCCUGCACAUUUUGACAGAAAUCGAAAAUUCUAUUUUGUUUUGCGCAUCUGGGACACUACAUCCCUCCGUCAUUUCUGUUGACGACCUUCAUUCUGAAAUAAAAACUAUUAAGCAAUAUUAUAAUGAGUCCAUCCCUGGUAAUUUGACACAACUCUCUUUUUCGGAGUUGACAAAAUUUUUGAAAGUCGCUUGCGCUAAAACUGCCAAUAAAAUUGUGUAUUACAUUGACGUCCCUAUUAAUUACGAAGCCACUUUCACUCUGUUCCACCUUUUGUUAAUCCCCUCCCUUGUUGGGUCACAUGAGUAUGUGUCUGUUUUACCUGAGGUCCGCCAUGUCCUGCUCGGAACAGACGUCGCCCUGGCCGUGACAUCACCAUGCCCGAAAUUAGGAGCUUUCUACCAAUGCUCCACGGCCUCACCAUUGGACCCUUCCUCAUGCAGUGUCUCAGCAUUACACCACAAUACGGAACAGUGCCGGAAAGUUAAAGUCCAGCUGAACUCCAGUCACGUUGAAGUUUUACCAGAAACAAAUCAAUUUUUACUUUGUUUCCCUGUUAUUCAAAAUUUAAUUUUCACUUGCAAUGGGUUUGUGGAACAACGGUCUUUAAAAGGAAUCCUUUUAUUUGGCUCAAAUUACUGCACUAUUACAUUUAAUGAUCGUGUCCUUAAGGCACAGUUGAACACUACAGCAGAGUUGCAAUUAACUGAUUUCACUUUGACAAACGUUAGUCACGUAAACUUAUUAGACUUUAAUGUAACGCUAGCUCAUCUAAAUUUGGAAUAUCCUGCUGAAUUUCUUCAUUCUAAACCGUUACCACCCACUACAAUUUUUUCUGAACCUACAACCCAUCUUUUUACCCUGUAUUUCUCCCGUCAUUUUGCUGCUCUUAUUUAUUGCUUCUAUCACAUUUUAUAUGUGUUACAUGAAACGACUGUUCAACCGCGCUCCGGUUGCUGA
This 1041-nucleotide long non-coding RNA is filed under the name Bemisia tabaci. Its description in RNAcentral is "lncRNA ENSSSA1NGG001636". The record is from RNAcentral. Lineage: Eukaryota; Metazoa; Arthropoda; Insecta; Hemiptera; Aleyrodidae.